AAUGCUAAGCUGAUUUUUUUAUAGCACACUGAUCGAUAUCUCUGUAAAAUAAUCAUUUUUUUAACUAGCGGGGCAGUGAAAUCUUUGCUUUGUGCUAAAGUCAACAGUGACAGAGUUUGAGCUCAAAUAAAUGCCGUGAUGUCUGGAGCCCUUUGCAGAAGGCAGAAGGCGAAGCUUCUACAAUGGGCUCCUGUGUGGCUUGCCAACAACAAGCACCGGCUAUUUUACACAGGGCUCUGCUGACUGAAGUGAUCCCCAUGGUCCGAGUGGAGGAGAGGAGGGAGAUGAAGCCUCAGAGGGAAGAGGGGUAGCUGCGGUGGAGCCACAAAGACGCACACUCACACACACACACACACACACACUCAAACACUCACACAAUGUCCCUCUCAGUCCUGGGUUGUGACCGGCCCAUGGCAUUGGCCAGAUGCACAUGGCUUUUAUUUGAAGGACACUUUCCCACUGCUGCUUACUGUCUACUUUCAUCACCCUGCAUCAAGCGACCUAAAAGCACUUUCCUGUCGAUGUACUUGGCUAUAUCUACGUCUGACCUGUCUGCCAUAUGUAAUAUCAAAGCCUCUGUCAGCAUGGAGCUGAAUGGGAACAAAAGAAAGGCCUCCAUUAAUGAUUAACUGUUCUAAAAGCCCCGGCUUUUGUAUUCCCAUGGUGCCCAGGCUAUCUGGCCACCAUGUGACAUGCUCACAGCAUUUUUCGAGCAGAUUGGGGGAAAGCUAGUGAGCAAACACAGGUGCUUUGGAGCAGCGUUGCCGACGCUGUCAGGGACAACCACAAACAAGAGCAGCUAUGCCUGGCUAAAUGAAUCCCCACCCCUCCCAACACCAACACCAUCACCACCACCACCUCCACCACCACCCC
Lates calcarifer (barramundi perch) is the source of this 873-nucleotide long non-coding RNA. RefSeq lists it as uncharacterized. The transcript has 3 exons. The record is from RefSeq and is a predicted model, not a curated record. NCBI's taxonomy places the organism in Eukaryota, Metazoa, Chordata, Actinopteri, Centropomidae.